GUGCCAGCCGCCGCGGUAAUACGGAGGGUGCAAGCGUUAUCCGGAUUCACUGGGUUUAAAGGGUGCGUAGGCGGCCUGAUAAGUCAGUGGUGAAAGCUCUCAGCUUAACUGGGAAACUGCCAUUGAAACUGUCAGGCUUGAGUACAAUUGAAGUGGGCGGAAUACAUCAUGUAGCGGUGAAAUGCUUAGAUAUGAUGUAGAACACCGAUUGCGAAGGCAGCUCACUAAAUUGUCACUGACGCUGAGGCACGAAAGCGUGGGUAGCGAACAGGAUUAGAUACCCGUGUAGUCC
Molecule: ribosomal RNA, 292 nt
Filed under: uncultured bacterium
Lineage: Bacteria
Description: partial 16S ribosomal RNA
Rfam family: Bacterial small subunit ribosomal RNA
Source: RNAcentral